GUGCUCGCUUCGGCAGCACAUAUACUAAAAUUGGAACGAUACAGAGAAGAUUAGCAUGGCCUCUGCACGAAAGGAGGGAGGGAAGGAAGUGAGCUAAAUUGGC
RNAcentral lists this small nuclear RNA (103 nucleotides) under Chinchilla lanigera (long-tailed chinchilla). Lineage: Eukaryota; Metazoa; Chordata; Mammalia; Rodentia; Chinchillidae. The record is from RNAcentral.